This 460-nucleotide ribosomal RNA is filed under the name uncultured bacterium. Its description in RNAcentral is "partial 16S ribosomal RNA". It matches the Rfam family "Bacterial small subunit ribosomal RNA", at positions 338 to 795 of the family's 1533-position model. The record is from RNAcentral.
CCUACGGGAGGCAGCAGUGAGGAAUAUUGGUCAAUGGGCGUAAGCCUGAACCAGCCAAGUCGCGUGAGGGAUGAAGGUUCUAUGGAUCGUAAACCUCUUUUAUAAGGGAAUAAAGUGCGGGACGUGUCCCGUUUUGUAUGUACCUUAUGAAUAAGGAUCGGCUAACUCCGUGCCAGCAGCCGCGGUAAUCCGGAGGAUCCGAGCGUUAGCCGGAUUUCUUGGGUUUAAAGGGUGCGUAGGCGGCCUUUUACGUCAGCGGUGAAAGUCUGUGGCUCAACCAUCGAAUUGGCGUUGAAACUGGGAGGCGUGAGUAUGGUGGGGGCAGGCGGAAGGCGUGGUGUAGGGGGGAAAUGCUGAGAUAGCACGCAGAACCCCGAUGGCGAAGGCAGCCGGCCAAGCCAUGACUGACGCUGAUGCACGAAAGCGUGGGGAUCAAACAGGAUUAGAGACCCUUGUAGUG